AACGAACGCUGGCGGCAUGCCUAACACAUGCAAGUCGAACGAGACCUUCGGGUCUAGUGGCGCACGGGUGCGUAACGCGUGGGAACCUGCCCUUAGGUUCGGAAUAACUCCCCGAAAGGGGUGCUAAUACCGGAUAAUGUCUUCGGACCAAAGAUUGAUCGCCUUUGGAUGGGCCCGCGUUGGAUUAGCUAGUUGGUAGGGUAAAAGCCUACCAAGGCGACGAUCCAUAGCUGGUCUGAGAGGAUGAGCAGCCACACUGGGACUGAGACACGGCCCAGACUCCUACGGAAUGCAGCAGUGGGGGAUAUUGGACAAUGGGCGAGAGCCUGAUCCAGCAAUGCCGCGUGAGUGAUGAAGGCCUUAGGGUUGUAAAGCUCUUUUACCCGGGAUGAUAAUGACAGUACCGGGAGAAUAAGCACCGGCUAACUCCGUG
This 433-nucleotide ribosomal RNA is filed under the name uncultured bacterium. Its description in RNAcentral is "partial 16S ribosomal RNA". It matches the Rfam family "Bacterial small subunit ribosomal RNA", at positions 29 to 507 of the family's 1533-position model. The record is from RNAcentral.